GAGCAGAUCGUGUCCACUAGGAGACGAGACUACCGCUGCUACCUGGUUCGAUAGCGAGGAAGGCUCGAGUUAGAAGAUUCUUGGAUUACUCAAGAAGAGUUGCAGAGGAUCGAUCCAGAGCUACUUGAGUACCACCAAGGCCGAACAGAUCCAGACUCGAUAGGGUCGAGUUCUUCUCCUUCCAGAAAAAUUGGUGAGGACACCACCUUCAUCAGAAC
Molecule: long non-coding RNA, 218 nt
Filed under: Elaeis guineensis (African oil palm)
Lineage: Eukaryota; Viridiplantae; Streptophyta; Magnoliopsida; Arecales; Arecaceae
Description: long non-coding RNA (EGUI_LNC007681)
Source: RNAcentral